CUACGGGCCGCUGCAGUGAGGAAUAUUGCACAAUGGGGGGAACCCUGAUGCAGCAACGCCGCGUGGAGGAUGACGCAUUUCGGUGUGUAAACUCCUUUUAUAUGUCAAGAAAAUGACGGUAGCAUAUGGAUAAGCACCGGCUAACUCCGUGCCAGCAGCCGCGGUAGUACGGAGGGUGCAAGCGUUACUCGGAAUCACUGGGCGUAAAGGACGCGUAGGCGGGUUGGAAAGUCAGGUGGGAAAUCCUACAGCUUAACUGUAGAACUGCACUUGAAACUUCUAAUCUAGAGUAUGGGAGGGGGAGAUGGAAUUAGUGGUGUAGGGGUAAAAUCCGUAGAUAUCACUAGGAAUACCUAAAGCGAAGGCGAUCUCCUGGAACAUUACUGACGCUAAGGCGUGAAAGCGUGGGGAGCAAACAGGAUUAGAUACCCGAGUAGUC
Molecule: ribosomal RNA, 439 nt
Filed under: uncultured bacterium
Lineage: Bacteria
Description: partial 16S ribosomal RNA
Rfam family: Bacterial small subunit ribosomal RNA
Source: RNAcentral